CCAGCCUCAAGAUGAGAUCCCUCACUGGGUAAACCAGGUAAGACCGCUGGCAGACCACCAGCUUGAUAGGCGGCAAGUGUAAGGGCAGUAAUGUCUUCAGCUAAGCCGUACUAAUGGUCGAGGGCUUACCGUU
This 133-nucleotide ribosomal RNA is filed under the name Anaerolineales bacterium. RNAcentral's name for it is "partial 23S ribosomal RNA". It matches the Rfam family "Bacterial large subunit ribosomal RNA", at positions 2793 to 2925 of the family's 2925-position model. Lineage: Bacteria; Bacillati; Chloroflexota; Anaerolineae; Anaerolineales. The record is from RNAcentral.